UAUAUUUUAAUGUACGAUGCAUAUAAAUUUUUGAAAUUUAAAGGUUAGUUUAAUUCUAAAAAUAUAA
This 67-nucleotide transfer RNA is filed under the name Molannodes epaphos. Its description in RNAcentral is "tRNA-Gln". Lineage: Eukaryota; Metazoa; Arthropoda; Insecta; Trichoptera; Molannidae. The record is from RNAcentral.